UAGCAUAAGGCGAAGAUUUUCACUGCUGC
This 29-nucleotide small RNA is filed under the name Bombyx mori (domestic silkworm). RNAcentral's name for it is "ovarian small RNA-22287". Lineage: Eukaryota; Metazoa; Arthropoda; Insecta; Lepidoptera; Bombycidae. The record is from RNAcentral.